Molecule: long non-coding RNA, 2370 nt
Filed under: Homo sapiens (human)
Lineage: Eukaryota; Metazoa; Chordata; Mammalia; Primates; Hominidae
Description: HSALNT0382344
Source: RNAcentral
AGCACUUUGCAACAAUUUAAUAAUUUAUUACAUUACAGUAGCAUCACAGUAGCAGUGAAUAAUGCCACUUUAGGCAACAGUGUUUCAGUAUUUCCAUUAUACAUUCUAAGAAAACUUGGCAAAUAAAGCUUUGCAUUGGAAUUGGCAUUUCUUUCUCUACUUUUCCUUCCCCCAGUUUCUUUCUUUUAAACUACAGUAUUCAUAUUUCAAAAUGUCUUAACUUAUUUUAAAACUUAAGAUAGCAGUUACAUUUUUGAAUAGUUAUAUUCUUUUAAAAUGACUCUUUAAGAUAAAGUUUUAGAGAAACUAUUAUGGAUAGGGCUGAUUUACAUUUUCACAUUUUCUAAAUAUCAGCUUUGGUUUUAGAACUGACUUUUUUUCAUUUCUGGAAAACCUAUCAGAUUUAAUCAAAUACUUUAAAAAUGAUUAUAUAUUGCAAUCUUUAAAUCGGUUUUUAAUUCUUUACUUCCUACAGAAAUUCAGAUUUAUUCAGUUGAACCCACACUUUAAAAUUCUAUGUUUCUGAUUAAACUCUACCCUUCUAAUGUUGCCUUCUAAGCAAAUUGAAAGCUGCCUUAUACUGAAUGAGGAAGAGAACAAAUACUUGGCUGAAUGAGGUAUUGCAAAGGACCACAUGCACUUUGAAGAAAGACUUAAGUUAUUGUUAUAUGAUUUACAUGCUAUUUAAUUUUUCUUAAAUAUAUGACAGAAUACCUACACAAAGAGUGGUAUUUCAGUUAAUAUAGUACAUUCAUUUUCCAGACUGACAUUCAGCUUAAAUAUGCCGGUGUGUGAUUUAAUCCACAGGUACCUGAUGAACACAUUAUUGUCAGAUUGGUUGCAGGUGCUAAAGGCUAGCUGAAGAUCAUUCCUAGUCAUUUAUAUUUAUCAGGGUAAAAGUGAAGUGAUUUGAACUAUAAAAAUACCUUUGAAAUAAUUUAUCAAUGUAUUAGGUAAACCCAGUUUCAGAAUUAUAAAGAAAAACUGUUAGACCAAAUAAGGUGGCUAAUUAACAGUGGUAUGAUUUCUAGCCCGAGGGUCUAAAUUGGACUCAAACUGUCUUUAAACUGAACUCAAAGAAUGCAAAAGUGGCAAGUUCAGAAAAUAAAAGGCAAGAACAGGACUUGAAGUCCAUUUUAAACCCUCGGGCUAGAAAUCGUCCUACUGUUAAUUAGCCACAUUCGUUGGUCUAACAGUUUUUCUUUAUAAUUCUGGAACUGAGUUUAUCUAAUACAUUGAUAAAUUCAUACAAUUUGGAAGAGUCAGUUGAAGUCACAAGGACUUAAUAUUUGCACUCUUUCACUGAAUGCAGGCACAUCUGUUAUUCCAUCUGUAAAAUCGUAUUAUUGCUCUCCUAUUAAUGUCAUAUGUAUAAAAGUAUCAUGAGGAUGCCAAAUGCUAAAAAUGGAGAUGGUCUAGUAACUAGAAAUGCCCACCCCAGGGAGCGCACACACAUCUCUCCCUGCAUCCUAAUACUGUGACGUAUUUUGGAACACAGACAUUAGAACUUCAUGAACUUUUAGCUGUUGAUUCUUUCCCAAGCAUCUUAAAGUUAUGAUUUAGGCAAUGUAUGACUGAAAUAAUUCACUCAUCACGUAUAGGCACAUUAACAUAAAUAUGGCACAAAAUAUGCCUCUAACUGAAACUGAGAGGUAUAAAAACAUAUUUCACUCUUUGUGAAGAACUUUGUGAGGAAACAUAAGUCUGUCAUUGUAUAGACACUUUUUCUCAUAAUACUUGGACAUUCACAAACAUUAGAUUGCACUGCAGCUUGUAAACAUUUUAAGUUGCAUAAACUUCGCCUUGAUUUUCAUGUGUAGUAUAAUACUGUCUACUAAAACUCCUUUUUGUUUCAACUAAGUACUCUCACAUAUAUUGGUUUAUAAUAAUGGUUGUUAUUAUUUUUAAAGUGUUUUCCAUUCAAAGAAAAGAAGUAAAUUCCUAUGUCAGAGUAACUAAUGUGGCUGAAGAAUAGGUAUUAGCCAGAGAGGUCUAGAUGAUAAAAUCAAUCUUCUAGCCUCAAAGAAGCUCCAUGAACAUAGAGGAAGGCCAGGUGUCACACAGCUUUCCUUCACUCAAAUUCAUUCUUGACUAGAGCCUGUAUGCCUCUUCCAGGGACAUUUAAACUCUUAAAGGAUUUCUUAUGAUCUUCACUAAAUACCUUAAGAAGAAUGCCAACCAGUGCCCUUUUGUGUACUGGGACAUAUACUCGUGAUUAAAACAGGUAACAUGAACUCUGACUUUAAAAUGUAUUGUAGAUAUAAAUGCUCUAAGCUAGAAAAGGUUUUCCACAUCCACAGUCAAUGAUGGGAGCCUUUCAUUCCUCAGAAAUAAUCCCUUUUUAGGUCAUCAAGAAAGGGUACAACUGCU